This 317-nucleotide long non-coding RNA is filed under the name Homo sapiens (human). Its description in RNAcentral is "non-protein coding lnc-ARPC1A-8:1". Lineage: Eukaryota; Metazoa; Chordata; Mammalia; Primates; Hominidae. The record is from RNAcentral.
AGGAAGAGGGCAUGGCGGCCUCACUGAGUGCCGCCAAGCGCAAGUUGGAAGGGGAGCUGAGCGACCUGAAGCGGGACCUAGAGGGCCUGGAAACCACGCUGGCCAAGACAGAGAAGGAGAAGCAGGCCCUGGAUCACAAGGUCCGUACCCUGACGGGGGACCUCUCACUCCGUGAAGACUCCAUCACCAAGCUCCAGAAGGAGAAGAGGGCCCUAGAGGAGCUGCACCAGAAAACCCUGGACGACCUACAGGCUGAGGAGGACAAGGUGAACCACCUGACCAAAAAUAACAGCAAGCUGAGCACGCAGAUCCAUGAG